CCCUAUCAGGAAAAUCGUUCAGGGAAAGAAACUCCAAAACCAGAAUAGGGUCUAGAGUACAUCUUCAGAGACAAUUAAACUCAAUUUCAAAGUUUCAUUCACACUGUUAUCUGCAGAAUGUGGCAAACAAUCGUCAGAGAGGAGCGUUCUCCAGUGUAGCUGCCAGGUAAAAACACCUUCUGUAGUAACUGUAGUUCUGUAAAAACACCUUCUCCAGUGUAGCUGCCAUUGUACCUUCUGUAAAACUCUGCCCAUGUGUGCAGCUGUUAUUGUUGUCACAAGAAAGUUUUGUGAACGUGGUUGAGGGAUGUAAACAAUGAAAGCAAAGGUAAGUGACAGGUAAAAUGUCUCUAUGUGGUCCUCAGAGGGAGGAAGGAAGGACUCAGAGAUAUUUCUAUGCUAUCAAAAGAUUUAAAAGUCCUAUUUCAACAUACAACUUUAAAAAAAAAAAAAAAGUACUGUCUAUACAAAAUCUCCUUCAACAAACUAUUUUCCCAUUCAGGCAAAGAACAGGCAGGAAGCGUGGAAUGUAUAGUGAACAAAGAAAACAUUCCCUGAGGGAAAUUUCUCACAUAAAUCACCAGCACACAUAUCUGCCUUGUCUCCCGCUUAACAGGAUGGAUAGCUGAAACCAUGCAUUUUCCACCUCCUUUGAAAAGACGUAUUUUCUUGCAAUCUUCUCCCCCAAGCCCCGGGAGCAGCGGGCGGUCCCGCGGGGACGGGGGUGGCGCUCUCCAGGGUCCUGCACUGAAGGCUCGGCAGCGCCGCUGGGUCAGGGCCAUGGAGCAAGAACACGGCUCUGACUUCUACACAGACCACAGCAGAAGGUACUACUGGAGCUCUGCACCCACUUCUGAUGGGACUCGGAAGAAAGUGUGCGUGUUCAGGACACCAGGCACCAAUGAACAGACAUGUGCAUACCUGUGCAUAAGCAGGGAAGGAAAUUGUUCUCAGCUAGCGUUGCCAGGUAUGUAUCCUUCCAAUCAUCACUAUUAUGUGUAAAUAUUUAGUAAUGCAGUCAAUUGCAGUUUUGGUGUUUUUUUAUACUUCUGCAUUCUAAUAGCAGUCUUUGAGGGGAUGCAUUCACUUUUGCAAAAUUGUGGGUUUUUUAAGUGAAACAUAAUAAAAUGUGAA
RNAcentral lists this long non-coding RNA (1134 nucleotides) under Junco hyemalis (dark-eyed junco). RNAcentral describes it as "lncRNA (ENSJHYG00000004386.1)". The record is from RNAcentral. Lineage: Eukaryota; Metazoa; Chordata; Aves; Passeriformes; Passerellidae.